GACGAACGCUGGCGGCGUGCUUAACACAUGCAAGUCGAACGGAAAGGCCCUGCUUUUGUGGGGUGCUCGAGUGGCGAACGGGUGAGUAACACGUGAGUAACCUGCCCUUGACUUUGGGAUAACUUCAGGAAACUGGGGCUAAUACCGGAUAGGAGCUCCUGCUGCAUGGUGGGGGUUGGAAAGUUUCGGCGGUUGGGGAUGGACUCGCGGCUUAUCAGCUUGUUGGUGGGGUAGUGGAUUACCAAGGCUUUGACGGGUAGCCGGCCUGAGAGGGUGACCGGCCACAUUGGGACUGAGAGACGGCGCAGACUCCUACGGGAGGCAGCAGUGGGGAAUAUUGCACAAUGGGCGGAAGCCUGAUGCAGCAACGCCGCGUGCGUGAUGACGGCCUUCGGGUUGUAAACCGCUUUCGCCUGUGACGAAGCGUGAGUGACGGUAAUGGGUAAAGAAGCACCGGCUAACUACGUG
RNAcentral lists this ribosomal RNA (468 nucleotides) under uncultured bacterium. Its description in RNAcentral is "partial 16S ribosomal RNA". It matches the Rfam family "Bacterial small subunit ribosomal RNA", at positions 28 to 507 of the family's 1533-position model. The record is from RNAcentral.